UGGGGAAUAUUGCACAAUGGGCGGAAGCCUGAUGCAGCGACGCCGCGUGGGGGAUGACGGCCUUCGGGUUGUAAACCUCUUUCAGUGCGGAACAAGGCUCUUUGUGGGUUGAGGGUAUGCGCAGAAGAAGCGCCGGCUAACUACGUGCCAGCAGCCGCGGUAAUACGUAGGGCGCGAGCGUUGUCCGGAUUUAUUGGGCGUAAAGAGCUCGUAGGCGGUUUGUCGCGUCUGCUGUGAAAUCCUCUGGCUUAACUGAGGGCGUGCAGUGGGUACGGGCAGACCGGAGUGCGGUAGGGGAGACUGGAAUUCCUGGUGUAGCGGUGGAAUGCGCAGAUAUCAGGAGGAACACCGGUGGCGAAGGCGGGUCUCUGGGCCGUUACUGACGCUGAGGAGCGAAAGCAUGGGGAGCGAACAG
Molecule: ribosomal RNA, 415 nt
Filed under: uncultured bacterium
Lineage: Bacteria
Description: bacterial SSU rRNA
Rfam family: Bacterial small subunit ribosomal RNA
Source: RNAcentral